GAUGAACGCUAGCGGCAGGCUUAACACAUGCAAGUCGAGGGGCAGCGCGUUGUAGCAAUACAUGGCGGCGACCGGCGCAAGGGUGCGUAACGCGUGAGCAAUCUGCCCGUAUCAGGGGGAUAAGCGAUGGAAACGUCGUCUAAUACCGCAUAACAACGAGGGAGGCAUCUUCCAUGUUUGAAAGAUUCGUCGGAUACGGAUGAGCUCGCGAGACAUUAGCUAGUCGGCGGGUAACGGCCCACCGAGGCUACGAUGUCUAGGGGAACUGAGAGUUGGUCCCCACACUGGAACUGAGACACGGUCCAGACUCCUACGGGAGGCAGCAGUGAGGAAUAUUGGACAAUGGCCGGAAGGCUGAUCCAGCCAUGCCGCGUGAAGGAAGAAGGUCCUAUGGAUUGUUAAACUUUUGUAUGGGAGCAAUAAGGGUGUCGUGACGCCCGAUGAGAGUACCAUACGAAUAAGCAUCGGCUAACUCCGUGCC
This 481-nucleotide ribosomal RNA is filed under the name uncultured bacterium. RNAcentral's name for it is "bacterial SSU rRNA". It matches the Rfam family "Bacterial small subunit ribosomal RNA", at positions 28 to 509 of the family's 1533-position model. The record is from RNAcentral.